This 468-nucleotide ribosomal RNA is filed under the name uncultured bacterium. Its description in RNAcentral is "partial 16S ribosomal RNA". It matches the Rfam family "Bacterial small subunit ribosomal RNA", at positions 28 to 507 of the family's 1533-position model. The record is from RNAcentral.
GACGAACGCUGGCGGCGUGCUUAACACAUGCAAGUCGAACGGAAAGGCCCUGCAUUUGUGGGGUGCUCGAGUGGCGAACGGGUGAGUAACACGUGAGUAACCUGCCCUUGACUUUGGGAUAACUUCAGGAAACUGGGGCUAUUACCGGAUAGGAGCUCCUGCUGCAUGGUGGGGGUUGGAAAGUUUCGGCGGUUGGGGAUGGACUCGCGGCUUAUCAGCUUGUUGGUGGGGUAGUGGCUUACCAAGGCUUUGACGGGUAGCCGGCCUGAGAGGGUGACCGGCCACAUUGGGACUGAGAUACGGCCCAGACUCCUACGGGAGGCAGCAGUGGGGAAUAUUGCACAAUGGGCGGAAGCCUGAUGCAGCAACGCCGCGUGCGGGAUGACGGCCUUCGGGUUGUAAACCGCUUUCGCCUGUGACGAAGCGUGAGUGACGGUAAUGGGUAAAGAAGCACCGGCUAACUACGUG